Molecule: ribosomal RNA, 2952 nt
Filed under: Rhizobium leguminosarum
Lineage: Bacteria; Pseudomonadati; Pseudomonadota; Alphaproteobacteria; Hyphomicrobiales; Rhizobiaceae
Description: 23S ribosomal RNA
Rfam family: Bacterial large subunit ribosomal RNA
Source: RNAcentral
GAUUAAGUGUCGUAAGGGCAUUUGGUGGAUGCCUUGGCAUGCACAGGCGAUGAAGGACGUGAUACGCUGCGAAAAGCCGUGGGGAGCUGCGAAUGAGCUUUGAUCCAUGGAUCUCCGAAUGGGGCAACCCACCUUAAAUACCUAGAAAAUCAUUCUGGUUGUCGGGUCUUCGAUCCGACAUUACGGCGAACGAUCGCCGACGGCCUCUGGCCUGUAUGGGAGUUUCCCAAUACAGCGCGGAGCGCGUCGCCGGUCGUCCGGCGCGCUAACGCAGCGCUGCACGAAGUGCAGAACGAGCGUGAGUGAAAACCCGAAUGGUUUCUAGGUAUUGUGAUAAGGUAUCUACACCUGAAUACAUAGGGUGUAAGAAGCGAACGCAGGGAACUGAAACAUCUAAGUACCUGCAGGAAAGGACAUCAACCGAGACUCCGCAAGUAGUGGCGAGCGAACGCGGACCAGAGCCAGUGGCAAUUGUGAUUAAAGUGGAACGCUCUGGAAAGUGCGGCCGUAGUGGGUGACAGCCCCGUACGCGUAGAUAUCAUGAUUGUCCUAGAGUAGGGCGGGACACGAGAAAUCCUGUCUGAACAUGGGGAGACCACUCUCCAAGCCUAAGUACUCGUGCAUGACCGAUAGCGAACAAGUACCGUGAGGGAAAGGUGAAAAGCACCCCGACAAGGGGAGUGAAAUAGAACCUGAAACCGGAUGCCUACAAACAGUCGGAGCCCGCAAGGGUGACGGCGUACCUUUUGUAUAAUGGGUCAACGACUUAGUGUAACAAGCAAGCUUAAGCCGGUAGGUGUAGGCGAAGCGAAAGCGAGUCUGAAUAGGGCGAUAUAGUUUGUUGCAUUAGACCCGAAACCGAGUGAUCUAGCCAUGAGCAGGUUGAAGGUUGGGUAACACCAACUGGAGGACCGAACCCGCAUCUGUUGCAAUAGAUUGGGAUGACUUGUGGCUAGGGGUGAAAGGCCAAUCAAACUCGGAAAUAGCUGGUUCUCCGCGAAAUCUAUUUAGGUAGAGCGUCGAGCGAAUACCCCCGGGGGUAGAGCACUGGAUGGGCUAUGGGGACUCACCGUCUUACUGAUCCUAACCAAACUCCGAAUACCGGGGAGUACUACUCGGCAGACACACGGCGGGUGCUAACGUCCGUCGUGAAAAGGGCAACAACCCUAACCUCCAGCUAAGGUCCCCAAGUCAUGGCUAAGUGGGAAAGGAUGUGAGGAUCCCAAAACAACCAGGAUGUUGGCUUAGAAGCAGCCAUCAUUUAAAGAAAGCGUAACAGCUCACUGGUCUAAAUAAGGGUCUUUGCGCCGAAAAUGUAACGGGGCUGAAGCCAUGCACCGAAGCUGAGGAUGUGUAGCAAUACACGUGGUAGCGGAGCGUUCCGUAAGCUGAUGAAGGGAGACCCGUGAGGGCUCCUCGGAGGUAUCGGAAGUGCGAAUGUUGACAUGAGUAACGAUAAAGAGGGUGAGAGACCCUCUCGCCGAAAGACCAAGGGUUCCUGCUUAAAGUUAAUCUGAGCAGGGUUAGCCGGCCCCUAAGGCGAGGCAGAAAUGCGUAGUCGAUGGGAACCACGUUAAUAUUCGUGGGCCAGGUGGUAGUGACGGAUUGCACAAGUUGUUCAUUCUUAUUGGAUUGGAUGGGCAGCGGAGCGGUUCCGCGAAAUAGCUCCACCGUAUAGACCGUACCCGAAACCGACACAGGUGGUCAGGUAGAGUAUACCAAGGCGCUUGAGAGAACUAUGUUGAAGGAACUCGGCAAAUUGCACGCGUAACUUCGGAAGAAGCGUGACCCCAUGCUAGGCAACUAUUAUGGGGGUGGCACAGACCAGGGGGUAGCGACUGUUUAUCAAAAACACAGGGCUCUGCGAAGUCGCAAGACGACGUAUAGGGUCUGACGCCUGCCCGGUGCUGGAAGGUUAAGAGGAGAGGUGCAAGCUUUGAAUCGAAGCCCCAGUAAACGGCGGCCGUAACUAUAACGGUCCUAAGGUAGCGAAAUUCCUUGUCGGGUAAGUUCCGACCUGCACGAAUGGCGUAACGACUUCCCCGCUGUCUCCAACAUAGACUCAGUGAAAUUGAAUUCCCCGUGAAGAUGCGGGGUUCCUGCGGUCAGACGGAAAGACCCCGUGCACCUUUACUAUAGCUUUACACUGGCAUUCGUGUCGGCAUGUGUAGGAUAGGUGGUAGGCUUUGAAGCGGGGACGCCAGUUUCCGUGGAGCCAUCCUUGAAAUACCACCCUUAUCGUCAUGGAUGUCUAACCGCGGCCCGUUAUCCGGGUCCGGGACAGUGUAUGGUGGGUAGUUUGACUGGGGCGGUCGCCUCCGAAAGAGUAACGGAGGCGCGCGAUGGUGGGCUCAGACCGGUCGGAAAUCGGUCGUCGAGUGCAAUGGCAUAAGCCCGCCUGACUGCGAGACUGACAAGUCGAGCAGAGACGAAAGUCGGUCAUAGUGAUCCGGUGGUCCCGCGUGGAAGGGCCAUCGCUCAACGGAUAAAAGGUACGCCGGGGAUAACAGGCUGAUGACCCCCCAAGAGUCCAUAUCGACGGGGUUGUUUGGCACCUCGAUGUCGGCUCAUCGCAUCCUGGGGCUGGAGCAGGUCCCAAGGGUUUGGCUGUUCGCCAAUUAAAGCGGUACGUGAGCUGGGUUCAGAACGUCGUGAGACAGUUCGGUCCCUAUCUGCCGUGGGUGUAGGAAUAUUGACAGGAUCUGUCCCUAGUACGAGAGGACCGGGAUGGACAUAUCUCUGGUGGACCUGUUGUCCUGCCAAGGGCAUAGCAGGGUAGCUAUAUAUGGACGGGAUAACCGCUGAAGGCAUCUAAGCGGGAAACCCACCUGAAAACGAGUAUUCCCUAUCAGAGCCGUGGAAGACGACCACGUUGAUAGGCCGGGUGUGGAAGUGCGGCAACGCAUGAAGCUUACCGGUACUAAUAGCUCGAUUGGCUUGAUCGUUCUCAUU